GACAGAGGCCUCAAGCGUUAGGCGGAAUCACUGGGCUUAAAGCGUGUGUAGGCGGAUCGUUAAGUGUCUUGUGAAAUCCCACGGCUCACCCGUGGAACUGCUGGGCAUACUGGCGAUCUUGGGCCAACUAGGGGCAACUGGAACAAGCGGUGGAGCGGUGAAAUGCGUAGAUAUCGCUUGGAACGCCGAAGGUGAAAACAGGUUGCUGGGGUUGUGCCGACGCUGGAGACACGAAAGCCAGGGGAGCAAACGGG
RNAcentral lists this ribosomal RNA (254 nucleotides) under uncultured bacterium. RNAcentral describes it as "partial 16S ribosomal RNA". It matches the Rfam family "Bacterial small subunit ribosomal RNA", at positions 524 to 776 of the family's 1533-position model. The record is from RNAcentral.